CCUACGGGAGGCAGCAGUGGGGAAUCUUGCGCAAUGGGCGAAAGCCUGACGCAGCCAUGCCGCGUGAAUGAUGAAGGUCUUAGGAUUGUAAAAUUCUUUCACCGGGGACGAUAAUGACGGUACCCGGAGAAGAAGCCCCGGCUAACUUCGUGCCAGCAGCCGCGGUAAUACGAAGGGGGCUAGCGUUGCUCGGAAUUACUGGGCGUAAAGGGAGCGUAGGCGGAUAGUUUAGUCAGAGGUGAAAGCCCAGGGCUCAACCUUGGAAUUGCCUUUGAUACUGGCUAUCUUGAGUGUGGGAGAGGUAUGUGGAACUCCGAGUGUAGAGGUGAAAUUCGUAGAUAUUCGGAAGAACACCAGUGGUGAAGGCGACAUACUGGCCCAUUACUGACGCUGAGGCUCGAAAGCGUGGGGAGCAAACAGGAUUAGAUACCCUGGUAGUCCACGCUGUAAACGAUGAGUGCUAGUUGUCGGCAGCAUGCUGUCGGUGACGCNGCUACGCAUAAGCACUCCGCCGUCGGGAGGUACGGUCGCGAGAUAACUACAAGAGAGUAGACGCGNGAGAGCGACGACGACGACGACGAGGGAGAG
RNAcentral lists this ribosomal RNA (588 nucleotides) under uncultured bacterium. RNAcentral describes it as "bacterial SSU rRNA". The stretch from base 1 to 513 matches the Rfam family "Bacterial small subunit ribosomal RNA", at positions 338 to 873 of the family's 1533-position model. The record is from RNAcentral.